RNAcentral lists this unclassified non-coding RNA (1547 nucleotides) under Leishmania donovani. Its description in RNAcentral is "gene:LdHU3.16.1990(CDS-product:hypothetical_prote in_conserved)". Lineage: Eukaryota; Euglenozoa; Kinetoplastea; Trypanosomatida; Trypanosomatidae. The record is from RNAcentral.
UGCUCUGUCGCCCUCUCAGCCUUCAUCUCUCUCCCUCUCGCUGAGCUAUCCCUCUUUGGCCGCACUUCCUCCCUGACGGUCGUAGAGACGCUUCCGCUAGAGACGCGACCGCUACAUCCAACGCCACGAGUAGGAGGAGGGGGAGGAUGCUACGCUGGGACUGGCCGCAGACGUGGAGCCUGGAGAACAGAGAGGCGAUCCGGGUUGCCCUCGAGACGUCCAUUCGGGGUGCGAUGGCGAAGGGGGAGAGCAAAGUGGUCCGCGGCCUCGUUCAUGUGGAGCUGCCGGAGAUUGGGAGCACACCACCGCAGGUGAUGCUGACGGGCAUCCGCGAGCUGUCGCUGGAGCACACGGCGCUCAUGGUAAAGGUGCGCUACGACGGCGAGUUCACCCUCAAGCUGCGCGGGCUGCAGGUGAACGUUGACACCGUCGGCGCUAACUCGGCGCUGAGCAGCGACCUCAGUCUCGCAAUGCCCUUCUACUGUCCUCUGGAGAUGACUCUGAGCGACAUCCACGUGGACGGGGUCGCCUCCAUAGAGGUGUUCCAGGAGAUCGAGGAUUUGGCAAACAGCGAGGGCGCGGCACUGCUGAGUCCGGACUCCACGAUGGGACUUACCGGCACGCCGCGCACCGACGAGGUGGAGUCGCUCUCAUCGCUCUGCCGAGUGCCGCGCAGUGCACGUUCGUAUAUCCUCUCAGCGGCACAGUCGAGCACGGGCCGCAGCGCACGCUCUGGCGGGUACCCAAGCUCUGGCUACGGCGUGCUGCUCGGUGCUGGCGGACGGCGAGCGAUGCGUCCGCCAGAGCUGGCUCAGGGUGGCCACGCACCGGCUGCUCCUCCCCCCCUCACGUCCCCACAUGGCAACUCUGUUGCGACGACAGAUGCCUCGGUGACGGGCAGCAGCGGCACUCAUACCAGCACAGGCCUCUCGAUGGCGCCGAGCCAGCCGCGGCAUUCUAUCAUCGACUUGGCGAGCAAGCGCGCCAUCGUGAAGAAGCGCCGCAUCAAGGUACAGCUCUUCGGUGACCCCAUCAAGCGCUACAAGGUGGAGUCGAACCUUGUGGCGGUGCCGGGGGCCGGGAAGAAGGUGGAGGAGCACAUUCAGGACAUGCUCGAACCUCUCAUCGAGCGCCUCAUGGCAGAAGGCGUCACGAUCGAGCUCACGCCGUGAACGCGUAGGCGUGCGUGCCGUGAGUCGGUGUGCCGGUGCACGUGCCAAGGCCGUGCUUCAGCGCCGUGGGCCAUGCGGCACGAUUGGCCACCCUCUUCUCGUUCCUCUCUCUGCUCUCUGCUCUUUGCUCUUACUGGAACCCAGCUGGAAAUGCUGUGUUGCGUGGGCGGCAGGACAAGGUACCGUAGUGCGACGCAGCCCCCCUUCCCAGGCACCUCUCCCCUCCUCCUUGGCCCUUGCUGUCGGUCUGUCUGCGUUGUUGUGUCGUUCCCUCCUCAAACCCCGGAGAUUCUCUCUGUUCCUCUUCCACUGUAAGCGUGUCUCUCUGUCUCUCCGGCCUGACGCCCUCCCACGCCGGAGGCGCGGGUGGCAGAG